UACGUAGGGUGCGAGCGUUGUCCGGAAUUAUUGGGCGUAAAGGGCUCGUAGGCGGUUUGUCGCGUCCGUUGUGAAAACUCGAGGCUCAACCUCGGGCUUGCAGUGGAUACGGGCAGACUAGAGUGCGGUAGGGGAGACUGGAAUUCCUGGUGUAGCGGUGGAAUGCGCAGAUAUCAGGAGGAACACCGAUGGCGAAGGCAGGUCUCUGGGCCGCAACUGACGCUGAGGAGCGAAAGCAUGGGGAGCGAACAGG
RNAcentral lists this ribosomal RNA (253 nucleotides) under uncultured bacterium. RNAcentral's name for it is "partial 16S ribosomal RNA". It matches the Rfam family "Bacterial small subunit ribosomal RNA", at positions 524 to 776 of the family's 1533-position model. The record is from RNAcentral.